Chiroxiphia lanceolata (lance-tailed manakin) is the source of this 678-nucleotide long non-coding RNA. RefSeq lists it as uncharacterized. Lineage: Eukaryota; Metazoa; Chordata; Aves; Passeriformes; Pipridae. The record is from RefSeq and is a predicted model, not a curated record. The transcript is spliced from 3 exons.
AAAUUGCAUUUUGAGAAUUACCCUGAGUAAGAAAUUCAUGUUUGUCACUGCAUCAGGAUGUAGGGAAGGAAUGGCACAUACUCAACUAAUAUUUUUCAAAAAAAAAAGAGAAAAACAGGGAAAGGAGGGGAGAAUGAAAGUAUGUGUUUGUGUGGGCUGGUUUGUGGCUCUGCAAACUAACAAACAAUAUCUAUUUUUAAUGUGGUUAGGAAUUACCUGAAACGUGGAAGAAUCUUAAAAAGAUUGACUUCACUGUAAAGCAGAGAAGUAGUACCUCUACAGUCCAGAGAAGUGCUGGUUAUCAGAAGGAAGCAUGUUCUUUUGGAGAAGAAAAUCAUUGGAAUUGCAACAGCAUGUGAGAAUAAAAUACAAAAUCAGUCAACACAACUGAUUUGAUGGAUAUUGAGACUGUGCUGAGGAUGUUGAAAUCUUCAAGAAUCUAGAAGAAUGGUUGGAAAUCAACUGAAAGUCUGCAACCACAAGUAGGCACGUGAACCUGUUGUGGCCAAAAUGCAUCAAAAUAGUAAUUUUAAACAAAGACGUAAGUCUUAUGAAAUUGCUCAGCUGAAUGCCCUUAUAAACAUGCUGUUAGGGGAACUCACCCCUGGUGAUCAUCAGAACAUCAUGACAAUGGGCACAAUUGAUGUACAUACGAGGGAUGUUGUAGCCAUGCUUAUA